This 94-nucleotide ribosomal RNA is filed under the name Shewanella benthica. RNAcentral also lists the same sequence under 1 other name. The record is from RNAcentral. Lineage: Bacteria; Pseudomonadati; Pseudomonadota; Gammaproteobacteria; Alteromonadales; Shewanellaceae.
CCCCACCUGAUCCCAUCUCGAACUCAGAAGUGAAACGCAAUCGCGCCGAUGGUAGUGUGGGGUCUCCCCAUGUGAGAGUAGGUCAUUUCCAGGC